AUACAUUUCUCGGUCUUUUGAAUAAGAUAAGGUGUAAUAUUUGUUCUUAUUAGUUUAAUAUUUGAUAUGUAGACCAUAUGCUCACUCUGAUAUUAAAUUUAUUUUUUAUGGGUAUUAGAUUACAUGUCGUCGUAACGCACGUGCAUUGUAC
Molecule: small nuclear RNA, 151 nt
Filed under: Zea mays
Lineage: Eukaryota; Viridiplantae; Streptophyta; Magnoliopsida; Poales; Poaceae
Description: U2 spliceosomal RNA
Rfam family: U2 spliceosomal RNA
About the family: U2 is a small nuclear RNA (snRNA) component of the spliceosome (involved in pre-mRNA splicing). Complementary binding between U2 snRNA (in an area lying towards the 5' end but 3' to hairpin I) and the branchpoint sequence (BPS) of the intron results the bulging out of an unpaired adenosine, on the BPS, which initiates a nucleophilic attack at the intronic 5' splice site, thus starting the first of two transesterification reactions that mediate splicing.
Source: Rfam by way of RNAcentral